Molecule: ribosomal RNA, 427 nt
Filed under: uncultured bacterium
Lineage: Bacteria
Description: partial 16S ribosomal RNA
Rfam family: Bacterial small subunit ribosomal RNA
Source: RNAcentral
UGGGGAAUAUUGCACAAUGGGCGCAAGCCUGAUGCAGCCAUGCCGCGUGUGUGAAGAAGGCCUUCGGGUUGUAAAGCACUUUCAGCGAGGAGGAAGGGUAGUGUGUUAAUAGCACAUUGCAUUGACGUUACUCGCAGAAGAAGCACCGGCUAACUCCGUGCCAGCAGCCGCGGUAAUACGGAGGGUGCAAGCGUUAAUCGGAAUUACUGGGCGUAAAGCGCACGCAGGCGGUUUGUUAAGUCAGAUGUGAAAUCCCCGCGCUUAACGUGGGAACUGCAUUUGAAACUGGCAAGCUAGAGUCUUGUAGAGGGGGGUAGAAUUCCAGGUGUAGCGGUGAAAUGCGUAGAGAUCUGGAGGAAUACCGGUGGCGAAGGCGGCCCCCUGGACAAAGACUGACGCUCAGGUGCGAAAGCGUGGGGAGUAAACA